This 795-nucleotide ribosomal RNA is filed under the name uncultured bacterium. RNAcentral describes it as "bacterial SSU rRNA". It matches the Rfam family "Bacterial small subunit ribosomal RNA", at positions 8 to 796 of the family's 1533-position model. The record is from RNAcentral.
AGAGUUUGAUCAUGGCUCAGGACGAACGCUAGCGGCGGGCUUAACACAUGCAAGUCGUUCGAGAAGCCCAUUCUUCGGAAAGGGUGGAAAGAGGCGAACGGGUGAGUAACGCGUAGGCAAUCUGCCCUUCAGUGGGGAAUAACAUUCCGAAAGGAGUGCUAAUACCGCAUGAUAUUGCCGAGUCACCUGGCUUGGUAAUCAAAGGCUUCGGCCGCUGAAGGAUGAGCCUGCGUCCCAUUAGCUUGUUGGUAGGGUAACGGCCUACCAAGGCAACGAUGGGUAGCUGGUCUGAGAGGAUGAUCAGCCACACUGGGACUGAGAUGCGGCCCAGACUCCUACGGGAGGCAGCAGUGAGGAAUAUUGCACAAUGGGCGAAAGCCUGAUGCAGCCACGCCGCGUGUGGGAUGAAGCUCUUGCGAGUGUAAACCACCGUUAACGGGGACGAAUGCCUUGGUUUUGCCAGGGAGAGACGGUACCUGUAGCGAAAGCUCCCGGCUAACUCCCGUGCCAGCAGCCCGCGGUAAUACGGGGGGAGCNGCGUUGUCCGGAAUCACUGGGCGUAAAGAGCGUGUAGGCGGAUUUGAAAGUCCGGGGUGAAAUGUCGAGGCUUAACUUCGAACGUGCCUUGGAAACUUCAAGUCUUGAGUGCGGUAGGGGGAAUCGGAAUUCCAGGUGUAGCGGUGGAAUGCGUAGAUAUCUGGAAGAACACCGGUGGCGAAGGCGGAUUCCUGGCCCGUAACUGACGCUGAGACGGAAAGCGUGGGUAGCAAACAGGAUUAGAUACCCUAGUAGUCC